AGUGAUCAUAGGAGUGUGUGUACAAGGAUCUUCACAAACUACUGCUGACACAUCAAUCUGUUGGAAAUGAAACUGACAAUACAAGGAAAAUAUACUGAAUAUUAUAACAAAAGAAAGCGACCUACGGCUAAAAGAGUGCUAUAGGAUAGCUGGUACCAAAUAGUGAAAAUGUUCGUUACAUGUUUGUGAACACCAGGAUAAUGACCGCAGAUAUGGAUCCUAGGCCGGAAAAAUUACAGCACGAUGUCAUCUUGAAGUUUAGA
Long non-coding RNA from Stylophora pistillata, 263 nucleotides. The record is from RefSeq and is a predicted model, not a curated record. NCBI's taxonomy places the organism in Eukaryota, Metazoa, Cnidaria, Anthozoa, Scleractinia, Pocilloporidae.